UGAGGAACUAAGUCUUGGAUUAAGAACUUGAUGGUGGGGCGAGUUUACUGAGAAUCAAGGGACGGAUACAGGAUUUGAAGGUGGCGGUGUGUUCAUUAGAUAACAAGACAGGGGGAAUGUGUUGAAUUUAGCGAGCUUAAGCACCUUGGGAUUGUUCGUCAUUAUUGUUUUGAUACUGGAAGUGUUUCGUGAACAGAGUAUUUUCAUCGCCAGCUGAGGAUAAAAAGAAGUCAAGUAAAUAAAUGAUGUGAUUGAUGUGGGAAAAAAUGAAAAAACUGCACUGUAACUGCAGCGAGAGUUCGAGAUAGCAGUAUUGGGAGCCGAGGAACAAAGAUAUAGCAGUAUUGGGAGCCGAGGAACAAAGAUAUAGCAGUAUUGGGAGCCGAGGAACAAAUAUAUAGCAGUACUGGGAGCC
This is a long non-coding RNA of Saccostrea cuccullata (small rock oyster), 415 nucleotides long. RefSeq lists it as uncharacterized. The record is from RefSeq and is a predicted model, not a curated record. NCBI's taxonomy places the organism in Eukaryota, Metazoa, Mollusca, Bivalvia, Ostreida, Ostreidae. The transcript has 3 exons.